RNAcentral lists this ribosomal RNA (22 nucleotides) under Dendronephthya spinifera. RNAcentral's name for it is "partial 28S ribosomal RNA". Lineage: Eukaryota; Metazoa; Cnidaria; Anthozoa; Malacalcyonacea; Nephtheidae. The record is from RNAcentral.
CAUUAACCUCAGAUCAGGCAAG